GUCAAGGUCUGCAAGCACCUAUACUGAGUCCAUUCAGCCGACGUGGUUUCAUAGAGAGGAAGAGAACUUAAAUGUUUUUCUGUAACUUCUACAUCAAUGACAUCUCUGCCUCCAAGCUGCCUGUCAGUGUGAGACAAAAGGAGAGAAAAGACGGAAUUGAAGGCGCCUGAGUGUCAAGCCUGGCGUCGAGGGCCGGCCUUUCCAAGAAGCUGAAACCUGCAGGAAGAGAGACUGACCGAAGCAGGCGCUGGUGAAAGGAUGGCCCAAAUGAUACAGAAUGUCAAAUUCAAGAUUUACUAAGCAAGGAUCGUGCUAGGAUCCCGUUCCUGCUCUCCAGGUGCUCACC
This is a long non-coding RNA of Talpa occidentalis (Iberian mole), 346 nucleotides long. RefSeq lists it as uncharacterized. The record is from RefSeq and is a predicted model, not a curated record. Lineage: Eukaryota; Metazoa; Chordata; Mammalia; Eulipotyphla; Talpidae. The transcript has 4 exons.